CUUGAAUAAAUAUAAGAGGUCCAGCCUGCCCAGUGACCAUGUUCAACGGCCGCGGUAUCCUAACCGUGCGAAGGUAGCGUAAUCACUUGUUCUUUAAAUAAGGACUAGUAUGAACGGCACCACGAAGGUUACGCUGUCUCCUUUCUCUAAUCAGUGAAACUAAUCCCCCCGUGAAGAAGCGGGGAUAAACAUAUAAGACGAGAAGACCCUAUGGAGCUUCAAACUUUAAAAGCACUUGCCCUAACAUCAACCUAAUUUCAGAAAACUACUACUACCCAAGCAAGAUGACCCUUAGUUUUAGGUUGGGGUGACCGCGGAGCAAAAAAAAACCUCCACAUUGAAAAGAGCCAACUCUUUAGCCAAGAGCCACACCUCUAAGCACCAACAAAAAGACAUUAAUUGACCCAAUAUUUUGAUCAACGAAC
RNAcentral lists this ribosomal RNA (425 nucleotides) under Hyalinobatrachium iaspidiense group sp. ABGD cluster 11. RNAcentral's name for it is "partial large subunit ribosomal RNA". It matches the Rfam family "Bacterial large subunit ribosomal RNA", at positions 1834 to 2439 of the family's 2925-position model. The record is from RNAcentral. Lineage: Eukaryota; Metazoa; Chordata; Amphibia; Anura; Centrolenidae.